CAGGCGCGAAAACUUUGCAAUGUGCGAAAGCACGACAAGGUUAAUCCGAGUGAUUUGUGCUAAACGAAUCUUUUGUUAGUCCUAGAAACACUAACGAAUAAGGGGUGGGCAAGUUCUGGUGUCAGCCGCCGCGGUAAAACCAGCACCUCAAGUGGUCAGGAUGAUUAUUGGGCCUAAAGCAUCCGUAGCCGGCUCUGUAAGUUUUCGGUUAAAUCUGUACGCUUAACGUACAGGCUGCCGGGAAUACUGCAGAGCUAGGGAGUGGGAGAGGUAGACGGUACUCGGUAGGAAGGGGUAAAAUCCUUUGAUCUAUUGAUGACCACCUGUGGCGAAGGCGGUCUACCAGAACACGUCCGACGGUGAGGGAUGAAAGCUGGGGGAGCAAACCGGAUUAGAUACCCGGGUAGUCCCAGCUGUAAACUAUGCAAACUCAGUGAUGCAUUGACUUGUGGUCAAUGCAGUGCUGCAGGGAAGCCGUAAGUUGCC
This 486-nucleotide ribosomal RNA is filed under the name uncultured crenarchaeote. RNAcentral describes it as "bacterial SSU rRNA". It matches the Rfam family "Archaeal small subunit ribosomal RNA", at positions 336 to 825 of the family's 1478-position model. Lineage: Archaea; Thermoproteati; Thermoproteota. The record is from RNAcentral.